GCCAGCAGAGCAAGAUAACAUUCUGUACGCCAGCGUGGUCUUCACCAACAACCAGGCAAAACCUCUCUCAUCAUCAUCAGGUCAGCUCCACAGACACACGGAGGGAGAAGAAGUUAUUGAGUACGCUGCUGUCAAGUUUAACAGAGCCGGUAAAACCCCGAGAACCAGAGGUCAGAAAACUAGGGAAGAUCCAGCUGCACUGUACAGCACAGUCAAGAAAACAUGAACACAUCAGCAAUCUCAUGUUUUUUUGUUGUUGUUUUGGAAAACAAUGAGAAAAUACUCCCACAUACUGCUUGCUUAUUGCUGGAAUAUUAAUUAAAGGGGACCUAUUAUGUUUAUCCUUAUUUUCAGUGAUGUAUUUAAUGUCACAAUGUCAGCUAUUCAUUUUAAAAGAGGCUGAUGUGUCAAAUAAUGAGGUAAACAUAGAUGAAAUCCCUGUGAGCAAAACGCAUCAGCUUCAGACCACUCUGAACACUCGGUUUCCAACUUGUUUUUUUUCUACUUUUUGCUCGAGCUGAUAAUCCUGGGGACUUCAGCAAAACCUUGGUAGUAAAACCUGCUAACAUGUGGUAUCACCUCACCUGUGUCUUUUAGUGAAGGAGCUGUCGAUACAUGCAGGUGUUAUUAUUAACAUUGGGUUAGAAGAAAUAUACUGAAGAUUAUUAUAACUUGCCGCUUUGUACAUAUAUCAGUAUUAGAGUAUCACUAACAAGUGGUAAGCUUGUAUUUUUGAAGAUAUUUUUAAAAAACAACACACGAGUAUUCUAGAACUUUUAUUGAACUACUUGUAAUUCCCUACUGCUGCCACUAGUUGGCAGUAAUGAGUUAUAUUUCAUUGAUGACAGAAUGUGUAUGUUAUGUAUUUACAGUAUAUCUUCCAGGUUCAUUAUCACAACCAGUUAUAUUGUCAGUCAAGUAUCUUUUUAUUUCAACUGUCUUACUGUAACAUUACAAUUGUCUUUUUUUGCAUUCUUUAUAUAUAUUAUUACAGUCCAUUUUUGUUCUAUAUCACAAUUUCAGUACCAUGUAACUACAUUUGUCCUCAUUCAUUGUAGUUUUGUAUUAAAUACAUUUACUCAAUUGUAAUUGUA
Long non-coding RNA from Scomber scombrus (Atlantic mackerel), 1094 nucleotides. RefSeq lists it as uncharacterized. The transcript is spliced from 2 exons. The record is from RefSeq and is a predicted model, not a curated record. Lineage: Eukaryota; Metazoa; Chordata; Actinopteri; Scombriformes; Scombridae.